This 924-nucleotide ribosomal RNA is filed under the name Bagliettoa baldensis. RNAcentral describes it as "eukaryotic LSU rRNA". It matches the Rfam family "Eukaryotic large subunit ribosomal RNA", at positions 1 to 938 of the family's 3401-position model. Lineage: Eukaryota; Fungi; Ascomycota; Eurotiomycetes; Verrucariales; Verrucariaceae. The record is from RNAcentral.
GGUUGACCUCGGAUCAGUWAGGAUACCCNCUGAACUUAAGCAUAUCAAURAGCGGAGGAAAAGAAACCAACAGGGGAUUGCCUCAGUAACGGCGAGUGAAGCGGCAACAGCUCAAAUUUGAAAUCUGGCCUCUUGGGGUCCGAGUUGUAAUUUGUAGAGGAUGCUUCGGGUUAAGCCGCGGCCUAAUUCGCUUGGAACAGCGAGUCGUAGAGGGUGAGAAUCCCGUCUAGGGCCGCGCGCCGCGCCCGUGUGAAGCUCCUUCGACGAGUCGAGUUGUUUGGGAAUGCAGCUCUAAAUGGGUGGUAAAUUUCAUCUAAAGCUAAAUAUUGGCCAGAGACCGAUAGCGCACAAGUAGAGUGAUCGAAAGAUGAAAAGCACUUUGAAAAGAGAGUUAAACAGUAUGUGAAAUUGUUGAAAGGGAAGCGCUUGCAACCAGACUUGCGAGCGACGGUUCCCCGGGUCUUCUGACCCGGCUACUCCGUCGUCUCCAGGCCAGCAUCGGUUUGGGUGGUCGGUUAAAGGCCCCGGGAAUGUAUCUACCUCCGGGUCGACUUAUAGCCCGGGGUGUAAUGCGGCCUACCCGGACCGAGGAACGCGCUUCGGCUCGGAUGCUGGCGUAAUGGUUGUAAGCGGCCCGUCUUGAAACACGGACCAAGGAGUCUAACAUCUAUGCGAGUGUUUGGGUGUCAAACCCCUACGCGUUAAUGAAAGUGAACGGAGGUAAGAACCCCUCGCGGGGCGCAUUAUCGACCGAUCCUGAUGUCUUCGGAUGGAUUUGAGUAAGAGCAUAGCUGUUGGGACCCGAAAGAUGGUGAACUAUGCCUGAAUAGGGUGAAGCCUGAGNAAACUCUGNUGGAGGCUCGCAGCGGUUCUGACGUGCAAAUCGAUCGUCAAAUUUGGGCAUAGGGGCGAAAGACUAAUCGA